AGCAGAUUCAUUCAACAUGGAUUGGCUCUCGUUGGGACCAGCGUCCUGCUAAACAAUGAUGAGGAAGGGGUUGACGUAAAGAUGAAAAAGACCUUAAGUUUCUACUGAGGCAUAUUGGAGAUGCCCCAGGAAGAGAAAGAACAAGGCCUGCUCACAUGCCCCACAGUGGAUCCCUCUAUUGGUCCUUGAUUGAUAAAAUGGACAGACUGAGGAUAUCCUUGUCCUGACACUUGAUGACUUCAUGGAUAAGUACCUAUAGCUCUCUAAGCC
Molecule: long non-coding RNA, 270 nt
Filed under: Mustela putorius furo (domestic ferret)
Lineage: Eukaryota; Metazoa; Chordata; Mammalia; Carnivora; Mustelidae
Description: lncRNA (ENSMPUG00000031025.1)
Source: RNAcentral